AAGCGGCGGCAGCAGUGACGGGACAGCACCCGACGGCGGGAACCACGCGGCCCUCCUCGCCGGACCCGGCGGCUCCCACUUCCUCCUCCGAGGCGGACGGCGAAUGUGUUUCCGGGAGGAAAACCGUCCCCAGUUCCCGGGCGGGCCCUGACCCCUGGGUCCGUGGGGGGCUGGCAGGGCAAGCAGAAGGCGGGGGCGCCCCCGGGUCGCCAUCACGGCCAGAGCCCGGGAGCCAGCCGAGGCCCCCGGCACCACGUCGUCCCCGCCGGCGACACCUCGCCCGUCGCCUCGCACUGAGGAGCGGGAUCCUCCGCGCUGCCGCGACGACCCCCGAGGUCGCCCGCCCUCCCAGAAGGCCCAGCGCGGCCCCGGGACAGCCCCGCCCCCGCCGCCCUCCGCGGCCCUUAUUGGCCGACGCUCCUGCCACUCAGCCGAGCGCGCCUAUCCGGGCUCCGGCGGGGAGGCGGGGCCGCAGUCUCCUCCCGGCCCCCGCCGCCUCAGGUGCCUCGGCUCCGCGCUCCCCGGAGCGGGUCCACGCCCGCCUGAGCCUCGCGGCCUCCCGCGACCUGCGUGAAAUCUUUCUCAGUCGCUCCUGACCCCGCGAGGGCUAGUUCCGCCUCACAGGCCGGACACGUAAGGGCCACCCAGGUUGAGGCACCCGCCCCAGACCCACCUGCCGGGAUCGCAGUAAUGGCCCCAGAAGGAACUGUUCGCGGCUUGGCGCCGCUGGCCGGGUGGUUACACUGUUCCGGACUCGUUGCCUCAUCUGUGAAAUGGGGACAGUAAUGUCCGCCUUGGGAAGCUGGUGUGAGGAACACGUAGGAGCGGAGUCUAGCGCCAGGACUGGCCUGUGGUUCAACAAGUCUGAUUCCCCUAACCACUUACAGAGGCCCAUUCACCAAGUCUUCUGGUCACUUGCGUUCUUCUCUUCUGACUUCUUUCCAACUUCCCUCUCCCUGAAGUCAUUUACCUGAAUCAGAGGACCAGUUUUGCUCCAGCUACAUUCAUCCUACAGGCCUGCUUUUUCUCUAAGUAGUUGGCAAGGAGCACAGCUGUGUUCCAGGAGGGAAGCCUGGUCUCACAGGAGCAGUGCAGUGACGUCCCAAGCCCAGCCAGCCAAGGAUGCAGAUGGUCCUGGCCUAGAGGAACCCCACAGAAAUCAGCAAGAAGCCCACCUCCAGACAGUGUCUGGCCUCAAAUCCCAGAGGAACCCACCAUCCUCUUCCUCUUCACCAUCCUCUACUUACCUGUGCUACCAAAAGAGUGAAGCUACAUUCCCACACUCCCUUGGGUUGACCCUCUUCCUACAAAACUGGGACAAGCAACCUCCUGGACACACUGAUGCCUCUCUAGUAGUGAGCCCUUCGUGGGAGGAAGACUUCAAAAAGCUUUCCAGAGGCUCGACAGAGCCAGAUCAUCCCAUUUUUCCCAUAAGAUGCAAACAGAAGACUCCUGGAUGCUGCUUCCAGAAUAAAUUUUUCUGGGAAAAAGGAAUAGUUGUAGCCAGUACAACCCUGCCAUUCCCCCUUGGUGCUGCCUUGAAUGUGCCGCUCACAGUUCCCACCCAGAAAAUUAUCUAACUGCCCAGAGCUGUCUUUCUUUGGAAGCAGAAGACUUCCAUUCCCUGCUUCUCUGAGGGCCGUCUUCGUGCCCAGGGAGCUGGGUGCUCUUGCGGCACAAUGAGAUGUGUGUCCUCACAACAAGGGUGAGGACACCAGGGAUGGGGUAAAGCCUGCUGUGUAGUGCUGACCACUACGUCUCCUCACACCCCUAUGUGACUUUGCUCUCCCAUCAUGCUCCUCUCCUCGGAGAGCACUCAGUCUUGGAAAAACCCACCAUUCUCCGUGACCAUACAACUGUGAUCAUUCAAGCUGCCCAUUGGUCAGCGUCUGCCACCUAAUAGGAAGCUUUGGUCCUAGCAUGAAUCCAUUCUCAGGAGAGACAGAUUGUGUGUGAGAGGAGGUACACACAGUGGGCAGUGCCCAGGUUCAAGACCAACUGCCUAGAUUCGAUCUUUUUUCUGCCUCUUACCAUGGCUGGAAUUGUAGACGAAUUUACUUUUGUCCCUCAUUCCCUUAGCUGUUAAGGGACAUAAUGCAUCUGUAGACCUCACUGUGUUGCUGUGGGGGUUGAAUGAGUUAAUUGGCAUGAGGCUUUAAGAGCUGUGCCAGGCAAGGGUGCCUAGGUGGCUUCCGACUCACUUUUUUUUUUUUAAGAUUUUAUUUAUUUAUUCAUGCAAGUCACACAGAGAGAGGCAGAGACACAGGCAGAGGGAGGAGCAGGCUCCCUGCAGGGAGCCUGAUGCUGGACUCGAUUCCAGGACCCCGGGAUCAUGACUUGAGCCAAAGGCAGACACUUAACCAGACAGACGCUCAACCACCGAGCCACCCAGGCGCCCCUCCAACUCAGUUUCAACUCAGGUCAUGAUCUCAGGGUCCUGGGAUCAAGUCCAACAUUAAGCUCCAAGCUCUGCUGAGAGACUGCUUGGGCUUCUCUACCUCUACCCCUUCUCCCCCACACAUGCACACUCUCUGUCAAGUAAAUAAAUCGUUAAAAAAAAAAAAAGAAGUGUGCUGG
Long non-coding RNA from Vulpes vulpes (red fox), 2577 nucleotides. NCBI's taxonomy places the organism in Eukaryota, Metazoa, Chordata, Mammalia, Carnivora, Canidae. The record is from Ensembl.